CAAGAUAGUAGUUUAAUUAAAAUAUUGACAUUGGAAGUCAAAGAUUGAGUAGGGCUAAUCUCACUUCUUGA
RNAcentral lists this transfer RNA (71 nucleotides) under Tectus pyramis. RNAcentral describes it as "tRNA-Pro". Lineage: Eukaryota; Metazoa; Mollusca; Gastropoda; Trochida; Tegulidae. The record is from RNAcentral.